GGCCUUGUAGCUCAGUGCUUAGAGCACUGGCCUUAUAAACCAGAGCCCAAAACCU
RNAcentral lists this transfer RNA (55 nucleotides) under Fregata magnificens. Lineage: Eukaryota; Metazoa; Chordata; Aves; Suliformes; Fregatidae. The record is from Rfam by way of RNAcentral. RNAcentral also lists the same sequence under 4 other names.